CCUACGGGCGACAGCAGUGAGGAAUAUUGGACAAUGGGCGCGAGCCUGAACCAGCCAAGUAGCGUGAAGGAUGACUGCCCUACGGGCUGUAAACUUCUUUUAUAAAGGAAUAAAGUGAGGCACGUGUGUCUCUUUGAAUGUACUUUAUUAAUAAGGAUCGGCUAACUCCGUGCCAGCCGCCGCGGUAAUACGGAGGGUACGAGCGUUAUCCGGAUUUAUUGGGUUUAAAGGGAGCGUAGAUGGGUUGUUAAGUCAGUUGUGAAAGUUUGCGGCUCAACCGGAGAAUUGCAAUUGAUACUGGCAGUCUUGAGUGCAGUUGAGGUGGGCGGAAUUCGAGGUGUAGCGGUGGAAUGCUUAGAUAUAACGAAGAACUCCGAUUGCGAAGGCAGCUUACUAAACUGCCACUGACGUUGAGGCUCGAAAGUGUGGGUAUCGAACAGGAUUAGAUACCCGAGUAGUC
This 460-nucleotide ribosomal RNA is filed under the name uncultured bacterium. RNAcentral's name for it is "partial 16S ribosomal RNA". It matches the Rfam family "Bacterial small subunit ribosomal RNA", at positions 338 to 795 of the family's 1533-position model. The record is from RNAcentral.